Molecule: long non-coding RNA, 3341 nt
Organism: Gopherus flavomarginatus (Mexican gopher tortoise)
Lineage: Eukaryota; Metazoa; Chordata; Testudines; Testudinidae
Exons: 2
Source: RefSeq, a predicted model, not a curated record
UAUCGUAUGAAAGGUCACGAUCUGUUGAAAUAUUGUUCUGUCAAAAUAUGUAUAUCAUUAGGGUUUAUUAAGUUACGAGGUUUUGCUGUAUGGUGAGUUUGAAAGUCACCCAGUGUUAGUUCUCCAGUGACAACAACAAAGGAGGUGACCAACACCCAGGUGGGCAUUGAAUGAUCAUCACCAGCUGGGGAAUAGUAAACAAGGGAUUUACAAUGCAGUAACAGUUGCAAAAGCACCACACAAUGGGGACUGCUCAAUUCUGUGACUCAGUUGCACAAGCCCACACUAGGGGAUUGCUCAAUCCUGUGAUUCAGCAAGGCACAUCAGACAUGGCUGGGCUAGUGUCUUCCAGGCACAUGGACUGAGGAUGUAAACUAGGGGAUAGUGGCAUCAUGCUUUGCCAUAUCUGGCACAUAAACACCUUGCAAUGCCGGCUACAAAAGUGCCAUGCGGACACCUGUUCUCACUUUCAGGUGACACUGUCAAUAUGAAGCGGACAGCAUUAUUUCCCAUAAAUGUAAACAACUUGUUUGUCUGAACGAUUGGCUGAAUAAGAAGUAGGACUGAGUGGAUUUGUAGGCUCUAAAGUUUUACAUCGUUUUGUUUUUGAGUGCAGUUAUGUAACAAAAAAACCCCUACAUUUGUAUGUUGCACUUUCAGGAGAUUGUACUACGGUACUUGUAUGAGGUGAACUGAAAAAUUGGCUUUCUUUUAUCAUUUUUACAGUGCAAAUAUUUGUAAUAAAAAAUAAUAUAAAGCACUGUACAUUUUGUAUGCUGUGUUGAAAUUUAAAUCAAUUAUAUUUGAAAAUGUAGGAAAAAAAUCCAAAAAUAUUUAGUAAAUUUAAAUUGGUAUUUGAUUGUUUAACAGUGCGAUUAAAACUGCAAUUAAUCACGAUUAAUUUUUUAAGUUACUUGCAUGCGCUGUGAUUAAGCAACAGCACUAAUUUUAUAAAAAAUAUUGCCUUAUUUUUAAUAGGUCUUAUGGAAGAAGUGAACCUUUAAGAGGAAUUUGGAUGAGUGGCUAGGUGGACCAGGAUAAGCGGUCAAUACGUGCAUAUGGGCCACACAAAGACAAUUGUGGGAAAAGCAAACAAAUUACCUUAAUUGUGGGGUGGAGGGAUCACAAAUAGAAAUCCAAACGUGCUAUGGCAUAUUUUUUAUUAGCUACCUACAAGCCUAUUCAACUACUAUAAGUCUACUUGCUUUACUAUUAUAUCUGAAUAUAUUUUCCUAUGCCUUGGUAUUUUUUCUGUUUUUCUAAGUUUUAGUUCAAAAAAAGUUAUGUAAUAGUCUGGCAUGAGGCACUGUAUUACCCAGAAAUAAUGUGCUGUAAGCAUAAUGAGAUGCAAAAUAAUUGCAUGUAAUUUCAGGUUUCAGCACCAGAUGGCAAUAGGUGAUCAAACUUUGUUCUUUUAAAUCUAUUCAGCUUCUGCUCAUAAGUUGGUGAAAAUUGUGAUAGUGAUGUUUUUCUAUGUUUGUAGACUUAAAAGGCAGUUAUUUUUGGAGCCAUCUUGACUCAUUAAACUUGUUUAUGCCAAUAAGAAAGUAGAUAACUUUUUGUGAAUAGAAGGAUGCACUGGAUAAACAUAAUUCCAUACUUCAAAAAUGGGGCCACACAAUCUUAAAUAAAUUUAACUUUGGUGUGAAGAGGUUUGGCUUAUACAAAGCUUUUUGAACCUCUAGAAUUGGUUCUCCUCUAAUAUCUCUUUACAACUAUACUAUGUUUUAUUAACCAUAUAACAUCAGCUAAAAGAACUUGAGAAUGGGAAAUGUUAAUAGAUUCAUCAUCCCACACAAUGUCGCAGAAAGUUAUUGCAAGCCAUCAAAAUCAGCACACAAUAUAGAAGAUCUCCUUUGGGCCUGAUCUCACACCCAUUUAAAUGUAUGGAAAAACUCCAUGGAGUCUUUGGAUCAGUCCUGAUAUGAAGAAAAUGAGUGAGUCUUUAGAAUGACAAAAACAGGGGGUUGAUAAUUCACUGUUUAGAAACAUUGUGACACUAUGACUUUUUCAUAUUUAAUGCUUGCCUGAGGAAGUGAUAUUGACCUGUGUGUGUCCAGAUGAUUGAGUGCUUCUGACUUCCACCUCCUAACAUAGUGGUGAAAACAAGAAUUAUAUAUUGCUUGCUCUCCAAGGAUGAUGAGUGCCUUGGCAGUGGACAAAAAUCAUGAGGCAGGGCCCAUCAGUGUACAUCUUAGAACAGGGCAAAAAGCAGAGCAAAGGAUUCAAGAGAUGUGUUAGAAGAGAAGAUCGAGAUUGAUGCAUUUUUCUUGAUUGAUUGAAAGAUAUUUGGGAAAUUGGAGCCUCAUAAUAAUGAGAGCAAUCACAUGCAUGCGUGCAUGCACACACAUUUUCUCUGAUGAGCCAUAACUUUCAAGGGGUGAAUUAAGAAAUCCAUGUCACACAAUUUGACUGAUAGUACCUGAGAGGGUUUUUAAUAACAAACAAUUUUGAUAGGGCUUCAUUAAACUAAAUGGUGAUUUAUGCUAGUUAGAAACAUCAAACAAGCAUAACAAAUGAUAGUAUUCAAAUAGGUUGGCAUGUUUGGAUAUGCGAAAUCAAGACAGUUUCAAGCUCAGCACUUUCAUGUUUUGAAAGUGGUGUUUAUUGUAAACAAAGUAUUUAAUGAGUCUUUCUAUUAUAAAUAUGCUUUUUACAUACUACUCUGUUCUAGAAAUGUAUGUAAGUGCACAGUCUGAAUAAGUUGCUUUCCAUCUUUGUGCUGUGACUACCUGUCCCAUGGCAGAGAAAACAUUGUUAGUGAAUUUGCAUUAUGUAAUAAGACUGUUAAUUUCCUAAACCUAUUCUGUAGUAGCAGCAACAUAUAUUAUUUUUAUGUUUAUUUUUAAAAUCAUGCCUGAAAUGCUAAACCUCUUUUUAUGCACAGCUGAAACUAUUUAUUUUAAAACAAGACAUCUGUCUUUAGAUUAAAUGUAUACAUGAUUCCUGUUAAAUUGGUGUCUGGUACAUGUGGUUCUGGGAGACGGAUGUGUUAUGUCUCAUAUUCAGGGUCUGUGUUAUGCAGGAACUGUGAGCAAUGGUUUUUAUUUUACAAAGUAGUUAUACUUACACUUGUUUGAAUCUUAUGCCAUAAGUAGUUAUGUUUUAAGAUUUUACCAUUGUCACGUUGCACUCCAUAUGUUUAUGGAAAUAUGCUUGAGUGUGAUAUAAUUAACUGGAAUAUGCUUUCUGCAAAAGGUCUCUUGUAUCAUUACAAAGCUUAUAAUCUACUGAGUGUGUUCAUCCUAUUUGUAUCUAAAAUUAGAAAUCUGAAGUAUAAUUCUGAAGUCCUAUUGCAAUUAUGCAAAGCAUAGGCCAUUAAAGGUGGCGUGGAAUCUUGA